CAAAAUCUGUAGCACCUCUCCUUACCAAGCUAGCAUCGAGAGAAAACAGAGAGAGUGAGAAAAGAGAGCGAAACUGAGGAAGUGAGAGCAGGGGCUUGGUUGGUUUCUUCACCAAUUAACCCAGGCACAAGAAGAAAUAUCGCAAGGAAAGUAAGGGAGGCUGGAGCUAACACUCGAGGGAACAAAAGUUGGGAAGAGAAACUGAUUACGUCUGCAAUUCCUAACACUUAAGGCCAGAGGGAGUAGCUGUGAGCCCGGAAUCGAACCCGAAGCUCGAGAGCAAUUUAUUGGGGUUUUGGAGUUGAAGUUUGAAGGACAACCAAGUAGAGUUAAAGUGUUUUGGGAGGUCUAAUGUUAUAUAUUGAUGUUAAGACCUGCAUUUU
Coffea eugenioides is the source of this 383-nucleotide long non-coding RNA. RefSeq lists it as uncharacterized. The transcript is spliced from 3 exons. NCBI's taxonomy places the organism in Eukaryota, Viridiplantae, Streptophyta, Magnoliopsida, Gentianales, Rubiaceae. The record is from RefSeq and is a predicted model, not a curated record.